AAAAUGGUGGUUCAGUGGUAGAAUUCUCACCUUCCACUUGGGAGACCUGGGUUCGAUUCCCAGCCAAUGCA
Molecule: transfer RNA, 71 nt
Organism: Loxodonta africana (African savanna elephant)
Lineage: Eukaryota; Metazoa; Chordata; Mammalia; Proboscidea; Elephantidae
Rfam family: tRNA
About the family: Transfer RNA (tRNA) molecules are approximately 80 nucleotides in length. Their secondary structure includes four short double-helical elements and three loops (D, anti-codon, and T loops). Further hydrogen bonds mediate the characteristic L-shaped molecular structure. tRNAs have two regions of fundamental functional importance: the anti-codon, which is responsible for specific mRNA codon recognition, and the 3' end, to which the tRNAs corresponding amino acid is attached (by aminoacyl-tRNA synthetases). tRNAs cope with the degeneracy of the genetic code in two manners: having more than one tRNA (with a specific anti-codon) for a particular amino acid; and 'wobble' base-pairing, i.e. permitting non-standard base-pairing at the 3rd anti-codon position.
Source: Rfam